CCGCUGAACUUAAGCAUAUCAAUAAGCGGAGGAAAAGAAACCAACAGGGAUUGCCCUAGUAACGGCGAGUGAAGCGGCAACAGCUCAAAUUUGAAAUCUGGCGUCUUUGGCGUCCGAGUUGUAAUUUGCAGAGGGCGCUUUGGCAUUGGCAGCGGUCCAAGUUCCUUGGAACAGGACGUCACAGAGGGUGAGAAUCCCGUACGUGGUCGCUAGCCUUUACCGUGUAAAGCCCCUUCGACGAGUCGAGUUGUUUGGGAAUGCAGCUCUAAAUGGGAGGUAAAUUUCUUCUAAAGCUAAAUACUGGCCAGAGACCGAUAGCGCACAAGUAGAGUGAUCGAAAGAUGAAAAGCACUUUGGAAAGAGAGUUAAAAAGCACGUGAAAUUGUUGAAAGGGAAGCGCUUGCAGCCAGACUUGCCUGUAGUUGCUCAUCCAGGUUUCUACCUGGUGCACUCUUCUAUAGGCAGGCCAGCAUCAGUUUGGGCGGUUGGAUAAAGGUCUCUGUCAUGUACCUCUCUUCGGGGAGAACUUAUAGGGGAGACGACAUGCAACCAGCCUGGACUGAGGUCCGCGCAUCUGCUAGGAUGCUGGCGUAAUGGCUGUAAGCGGCCCGUCUUGAAACACGGACCAAGGAGUCUAACAUCUAUGCGAGUGUUUGGGUGUCAAGCCCGAGCGCGUAAUGAAAGUGAACGGAGGUGGGAACCUUUCGGGGUGCACCAUCGACCGAUCCUGAUGUCUUCGGAUGGAUUUGAGUAAGAGCAUAGCUGUUGGGACCCGAAAGAUGGUGAACUAUGCUUGAAUAGGGUGAAGCCAGAGGAAACUCUGGUGGAGGCUCGCAGCGGUUCUGACGUGCAAAUCGAUCGUCAAAUUUGGGCAUAGGGGCGAAAGACUAAUCGAACUAUCUAGUAGCUGGUUCCUGCCGAA
RNAcentral lists this ribosomal RNA (922 nucleotides) under Didymella segeticola. Its description in RNAcentral is "partial large subunit ribosomal RNA". It matches the Rfam family "Eukaryotic large subunit ribosomal RNA", at positions 25 to 965 of the family's 3401-position model. The record is from RNAcentral. Lineage: Eukaryota; Fungi; Ascomycota; Dothideomycetes; Pleosporales; Didymellaceae.